Molecule: non-coding RNA, 23 nt
Filed under: Arabidopsis thaliana (thale cress)
Lineage: Eukaryota; Viridiplantae; Streptophyta; Magnoliopsida; Brassicales; Brassicaceae
Source: RNAcentral
GACAGCGUGAGCACUGAUUUGGU